Molecule: ribosomal RNA, 382 nt
Filed under: Cimex lectularius (bed bug)
Lineage: Eukaryota; Metazoa; Arthropoda; Insecta; Hemiptera; Cimicidae
Description: partial 16S ribosomal RNA
Source: RNAcentral
GUCUUUUUGUUUUUUAUAUAAGGUCAGACCUGCCCAAUGAAUUUUAAAUGGCCGCAGUACUUUAACUGUGCAAAGGUAGCAUAAUAAUUUGUUUUUUAAUUGGAAACUAGUAUGAAUGGUCAUACGAGGGAUUGACUUUCUUUAUCUUACUUAAAUUAAUUUUAUUUUUCUGUGAAAAAGCAGAAAUUUCGUUAGUAGACGAUAAGACCCUUUAAAACUUUAUUUAUUAUAGAAGUAUAAUUUUGUUAGGUUUUAAUAGUGUACUUUUUUAAUGAGUUUUGUUGGGGCGACAGGUAAAUUUAUUUAACUUUAUUUUUGUUUUUCACUAAUUAGUGUUUAUUUGAUCCAGAUUUAGUUUUGAUUAUAAGUUUAAGUUACUUAA